RNAcentral lists this ribosomal RNA (426 nucleotides) under uncultured bacterium. RNAcentral's name for it is "bacterial LSU rRNA". It matches the Rfam family "Bacterial large subunit ribosomal RNA", at positions 28 to 491 of the family's 2925-position model. The record is from RNAcentral.
AUGCCUUGGCGAUUACAGGCGAUGAAGGACGUUGUAGCCUGCGAAAAAGCUGCGGGGAGCUGGCAAACAAGCUUUGAUCCGCAGAUGUCCGAAUGGGGAAACCCACUCCGCAAGGAGUAUCCCUGGCUGAAUACAUAGGCCAGAGGAAGCGAACCCGGCGAACUGAAACAUCUAAGUAGCCGGAGGAACAGAAAUCAACCGAGAUUCCCUAAGUAGUGGCGAGCGAACAGGGAUCAGCCUGCAAGAGAUAACUAGUGUAUUAGUGGAACGCUCUGGAAAGUGCGGCCGUAGUGGGGUGAUAGCCCCGUACGCGAAAAUACAUUAGCGAGACUAAGUUUGCGACAAGUAGGGCGGGACACGUGAAAUCCUGUCUGAAGAUGGGGGGACCAGUCCUCCAGGACUAAAUACUCGUAAUCGACCGAUAGU